RNAcentral lists this ribosomal RNA (301 nucleotides) under uncultured bacterium. Its description in RNAcentral is "partial 16S ribosomal RNA". It matches the Rfam family "Bacterial small subunit ribosomal RNA", at positions 509 to 808 of the family's 1533-position model. The record is from RNAcentral.
CAGUCCCACGGGAAUACGGAGGGUGCAAGCGUUAUCCGGAUUUAUUGGGUUUAAAGGGUCCGUAGGCGGAUCUGUAAGUCAGUGGUGAAAUCUCACAGCUUAACUGUGAAACUGCCAUUGAUACUGCAGGUCUUGAGUAAAUUUGAAGUGGCUGGAAUAAGUAGUGUAGCGGUGAAAUGCAUAGAUAUUACUUAGAACACCAAUUGCGAAGGCAGGUCACUAAGAUUUAACUGACGCUGAUGGACGAAAGCGUGGGGAGCGAACAGGAUUAGAUACCCCCGUAGUCCCUGUCUCUUAUACA